This is a long non-coding RNA of Zingiber officinale, 692 nucleotides long. RefSeq lists it as uncharacterized. The transcript is spliced from 2 exons. Lineage: Eukaryota; Viridiplantae; Streptophyta; Magnoliopsida; Zingiberales; Zingiberaceae. The record is from RefSeq and is a predicted model, not a curated record.
CCUAUCACUGCACGCCCAAAAUAAAAAGAUCAAAAUCCGAACAGAAGAAGAAUAAGAAGAAAAUGCAAUUGUGAUCUCGAGCUUAAUCCCAUCGCGAGACCUUCAGGUAUAUCAGCAGCAAUCACAGCCAGCUCGGCCAGCAGCCACAGACAAUACUUCACUAAAACAGGGUACUCUGCCUUGCACAGUUCAGCCAGUCACUCCUAGAUUUGCCGAUAGAGAUUGGAUAAUGAGGGCGAAAACCAGUCCGAUCAGAAUCACCCACAGGAGCUCGUAUCUGUGAUCCGCUCCUGCUUGUAGGUCAGUCUCCACUGUAACGAAGAUAAGAAACAUGAGCAAGGUAAGACAGACGAAUGCAUUUGGAGAAUGAGAGAGAUGUUUACAAUUUCCAGGAUCGAGGUAAGCCAAGGAGACCAGAAAGCCAGGGCCGACAUGAGCGAGGAACCUCUUCCAACCAGGUGCCUGCCAUUUUUCAUGAUCGAUCUCGUCAAGGAACUAAAUUGCAUUCUAAGGAGGAGGAAGAAGGAGUAAUGGACCUGGUGCUGGGGUUCUGCUUGCCUCACCGUGCUGACACCAUUCACCUCCAUUGUUUUAUUUUGUUUUGCUUUGCUUUCUUGCUACUUGCAGUGAUGUUACACUUGUUCGUGGCCUUCUUAUAUAUAUCAUUCUUGGGAGCUUAAAAUAAAUGUAAA